Molecule: ribosomal RNA, 468 nt
Filed under: uncultured bacterium
Lineage: Bacteria
Description: partial 16S ribosomal RNA
Rfam family: Bacterial small subunit ribosomal RNA
Source: RNAcentral
GACGAACGCUGGCGGCGUGCUUAACACAUGCAAGUCGAACGGAAAGGCCCUGCUUUUGUGGGGUGCUCGAGUGGCGAACGGGUGAGUAACACGCGAGUAACCUGCCCUUGACUUUGGGAUAACUUCAGGAAACUGGGGCUAAUACCGGAUAGGAGCUCCUGCUGCAUGGUGGGGGUUGGAAAGUUUCGGCGGUUGGGGAUGGACUCGCGGCUUAUCAGCUUGUUGGUGGGGUAGUGGCUUACCAAGGCUUUGACGGGUAGCCGGCCUGAGAGGGUGACCGGCCACAUUGGGACUGAGAUACGGCCCAGACUCCUACGGGAGGCAGCAGUGGGGAAUAUUGCACAAUGGGCGGAAGCCUGAUGCAGCAACGCCGCGUGCGGGAUGGCGGCCUUCGGGUUGUAAACCGCUUUCGCCUGUGACGAAGCGUGAGUGACGGUAAUGGGUAAAGAAGCACCGGCUAACUACGUG